AGCCACACAUGCAGCAGGGCUUUGAACUGUCAAAGACUGUAUGACUGUUAUUAUUGGCAACUCAAGGCAGUUUAUCUGAUUGUAUCACAGCUUUCUUUUCAACCUCAAACAGUGCUCCACCUGGAGAAGUAUUCAAGUCUCCUGAUAAAGAAUGAUUUCGAAGAGGUAAUAGCAUCGGCCAGAAGACCUCUGGGAAUGUAAGCUCCACGAGCGUGGGGAUCAUCUAUGCCUUGGUCACAGCUGCAGCACCCGAGGUUUAGUGCAGAGAAGGCACUAGACAUGUACUUGUUGGCUAAAGGAAUGAAUGAUCAUCAUAACAGCUACAUUUAUUGAGCUCUUCCUCUGUGCCAGGCACAGAGCUGCAACUUUUUAUAAAUACCAUCUCACUGAAUUCUCACAGCGGCUCUCCAAGCUGAAUUAUAACCAUCACUGAAGAUAACUGGAGAGUUUGGUGCAGACAGGGAAGCCUGGCGUGCUGCAGUCCGUGCGGUCGCAGAGUCAGACAUGACUGAGCAACUGAACAACAGCAAGGUAUUCUGUUUGAACCACGGUCCCAUUCAUGUUGUAAUGACAGGUGAUCUCACCUGCCAACAUGCGAACAGACCCACAUACCCUCCAUCCCAGCAGGCCCAAGGUAGGCAAGAUUGAAGGACAGAGUAAGCCAAGGCACCCUGAUUGCUAAAACUCUUCCUCUCUCCACCACUGAGCCUGAAAACUUCAGUCUCUUCUUCCCAGGCAAAUGUCUGAGUUCACUGGCAAGAGGUGAAAGACGUGAAUCACAGGUCGGAGCCAACCCAGAGACAUCUCUUGAAGCCUCGUUGAGGAGGUGAACAUACUGGGUGCCCAGCUGUUUAAUCAGAGUGGCUCUCGAAACUGAAUAUCAGCAUGAAAGCAAAAGAUCAACUCACCAGAACCUUGAGCCUGGGUUGAAAGAAAGGCACCUCCAGCAUGGUAGAACCAGCAUCUGAAGGGGAAUCUAGAGAUGCAAGAUCUGCAUUAACAAGAUGUCCUGGGUACCUCUUCCCACUCUCUUUUUUUUCUGAGCCUAUUUUCUUAUCAGUAACAUAGCAAGUCAAUUUUAUACCUUUUCAUCCAUCUUUUUGUCUGUUUAACAUCUACUAUAUGUAUUGUUAUUAAUAUUCAUAUUUAAGAUCCUUUCUACUAUUAUAAAAAUUGAUUUCUAUUGAAUACUUGGUAUUUACCAGAAUUGUGCCAUA
Molecule: long non-coding RNA, 1217 nt
Organism: Cervus elaphus (red deer)
Lineage: Eukaryota; Metazoa; Chordata; Mammalia; Artiodactyla; Cervidae
Exons: 5
Source: RefSeq, a predicted model, not a curated record